AAAAAAGUAAGCUAAUUUUAAGCUAUUAGGUUCAUACCCUAAACAUAAAGGUCAUAACCCUUUCUUUUUUA
RNAcentral lists this transfer RNA (71 nucleotides) under Empoascanara gracilis. RNAcentral describes it as "tRNA-Met". It matches the Rfam family "tRNA". Rfam says of the family: Transfer RNA (tRNA) molecules are approximately 80 nucleotides in length. Their secondary structure includes four short double-helical elements and three loops (D, anti-codon, and T loops). The record is from RNAcentral. Lineage: Eukaryota; Metazoa; Arthropoda; Insecta; Hemiptera; Cicadellidae.